GGUUGAUCCUGCCGGACCCCACUGCUAUCGGGAUAGGACUAAGACAUGCUAGUCGAGCGCCUCCCAGCCACGACGGAGGCGCGGCGCACAGCUCAGUAACACGUGGCUAACCUGCCCUCGGGACGGGAAUACCCCCGGGAAACUGGGGCUAAUCCUCGAUAGGUGAAGAACUCUGGAAUGAGUCUCCGCCCAAAAGAGGCUUAAUUAUUGUUUUAGCCCCCCCCCCAAGGAUGGGGCCGCGACCGAUCAGGUAGUUGGUGAGGCAACGGCUCACCAAGCCUUUAACCGGUGCGGGCCGUGGGAGCGGGAGCCCGGAGAUGGGCACUGAGACAAGGGCCCAGGCCCUACGGGGCGCAGCAGUCGCGAAAACUUUGCAAUACACGAAAGUGUGACAGGGCUAUCCCGAGUGCCAUCCGCUGAGGAAGGCUUUUACCCAGUCUAGAAGCUUGAGAAUAAGGAGAGGGCAAGUCUGGUGUCAGCCGCCGCGGUAAUACUAGCUCUCUGAGUGGUGUGGAUGUUUAUUGGGCCUAAAGCAUCCGUAGCUGGCCAAGUUAGUCCCCUGUUAAAUCCACCGAAUUAAUCGUUGGUGUGCGGGGGAUACUGCUCGGCUAGGGGACGAGAGAGGCCGACGGUAUUUUCGGGGUAGGGGUGAAAUCCUAUAAUCCCGAGAGGACCACCAGUGGCGAAGGCUGUCUGCUAGAACGCGCCCGACGGUGAGGGAUGAAAGCCGGGGGGAGGGAACCGGAUUAGAUACCCGGGUAGUCCCAGCUGUAAACGAUGCAGGCUAGGUGUUUGGACGGCCACGUGCCGUUCUAGUGCCGCAGGGAAGCUGUUAAGCCUGCCGCCUGGGGAGUACGAUCGCAAGAUUGAAACUUAAAGGAAUUGGCGGGAAG
RNAcentral lists this ribosomal RNA (893 nucleotides) under uncultured archaeon. RNAcentral describes it as "bacterial SSU rRNA". It matches the Rfam family "Archaeal small subunit ribosomal RNA", at positions 6 to 875 of the family's 1478-position model. The record is from RNAcentral.